GGAAAGAUGACUGAGCGGUUUAAAGUGAAGAUCUGCUAAAUCUUUAUAUAGCAGAAACUAUAUCGAAGGUUCGAAUCCUUUUCUUUCCA
Fragilaria crotonensis is the source of this 89-nucleotide non-coding RNA. The record is from the annotation of a GenBank genome assembly. Lineage: Eukaryota; Bacillariophyta; Fragilariophyceae; Fragilariales; Fragilariaceae.